GUUGAUUAGAAAUCAGUUACUUCUUUGAGAUCCUUUCAGGUUUCACAGACAGAGGCCAGUUAGUAGGUCUGAUGCUGAAUCAGGACUCUCAGAGCAUGAAAAUCUUUAGAUUUAGGGCACUUUUUAUGAUUGCAAUAGUUGAUUCAAACAUUGGAAUUAGUUAAAGAAAGAUAAAAUCAUAUCCAAAGAAAAUGAAAUAUAAAAGUAAAAAAAGUGGACAAGAAAAAAUAUUUAGAAGGGCAAACAGUUUUUGAAGAUCCAGAGAGUGAUGAGAAGCAGAUACAUAAUGUUUUAUGCUGUAUGCAUUAAAGCUAAUGGGAGGGGGUGUGGGUAUGCCUAUUCAUAAGAAUAAUGUGGUAAUAGUCCAAUGAAACUUCUGCUUUCUCUGAUACCACAGAUCUGAGAUUUGAGAUCUGAUACCACAAAUGCCUUAAUGUGGCUGGCAUUCAUGAGAAGGUAUGCAACUAUUGUUGAAAUAUGAAGAACUCAGAAUGUCAAGAGAGAAGAGGCAUGGAACAGUUCUGGGAACACAGCACUGAUAAAACUCUUAGGGAUGAAUUUACCUAUACCUGUGUUUCAGCCUUGUGAUCUGAUGGAAGCUGAGGAAUGAUGAAGACAAUGGAAUCAAAGGCAAUUGAUCCCGCCACAUUUGAAGAACCACAAAAGGAGGCUGAGUGAGCUGAAAGAAAUACACAAGUGGAUCAGCAACAUGACAGCUGCUGCAGUGAAAUCUGGAUUGUAAUAUGUCAGUUUCCAACCCAUCACAUACAAUCCAGACAGAGACAUAGCUUUUUGUCUGCCUCGUUGUGAUUUCCCUGUCUGGUGCGGUUUGGGUCACAUCUGUUGGCUGCAUUCUCAUCUUCAUGAGAUCUGCAUUGACUGAUAGUUUAAACCCCAUGUUUAUCUAUGUCUGCGGCUCUUAUUUCUCUCACAGGGAAGUCUCCAGAGAAGCCCAGUAUCCCCUGAUGUGAGAAUCUUGCUUGGUUUUAUUAAUCAACAGCCAGUGCCCACAUUCAGGCAGUUCUGUAUGUUUCAUGCUAGGAUAUUGGGUGUGUUUGUUACAUAUGUCUUUCAACAUUUAUUAUAUCAGAAAAAAUUUGAUAAAAACAUAAACCUACUUCCUGAAUAUAUCACACUGAUUUAAAACAGAACUUCUCACGAUGAACAACCCAAGCUCACUGUUUCUUUGACUUUUGCAUAUUUUCUACUCGUGCAUUAUUCUGUCAUUUCAUGAUAAAAUGAUUGAAAAACACUGCUUUAACCCUCCAAACUUGGCUAGUGGCUAUAUAAGGAUUUAAACUUCAGCAUGCCUGUCUAUGCUCAAGCCUUGGAAAUCCUUUUGCAUUUCAACCAUUGCUAAUGUUUCAUAUCUGCACAUUGAAUCUAACCCUUGAUUUCUUUUGUAGACAUAUGUAAUCUGAAGGCAUGCAACAUUUUGCAAAUGUUGGCCCAUAUUUUUAUUUCAUAAGGUCUUAUUUGGUCUGUCGACCAAGUUUUGAUUACUUCCAUAUUGCUCUUAAUUGCCUUAAUAUCCCCAAAGACUUUCCUAUUCUGUGCAUCCCUUUAUCUUUGCUUCUUUUAUCUCUUGCUGUGAGAGUACAAAAUUGCUGACAUAUUCAAUGUAUUUAAAUUCUGAGUGUUGCAGAAGAGUUUUCAAAUCUGUUUUAAUUUUCUGAUACUCAGCUGAGGACCAUUACACAUUCUGUUCAGCUAAUCUGUUUUUAAUCAUAUCUGUAAAUGCUAAAGUUGUACAUGAGAGAAAUGAUGCAUAAAGUAAAACCAGACCAAGUGUACUUUCGCAUAUGUAAAACUAAAUUCUUACUUUCUUCCACUUACAAGUUUUAUUUUCCUAUAGUCGUGUAGUCUUGACUUACACCAGAAUUUAUCUGCCAAGAGUUUAUGGUACUGUAGUGAAAAAAUCCCGACUUUUUCAUGUUUAAAAUAUUUAUCGAUUAGUACUUAUCCCCUUGCUAUCAUAAUAAAAUUUGAUGAACGUAAAUGUACUUUUAAUUCCAUUUCAUAAUGUAUCAGCUAAGAUAUAUUCAGUCAUAAAUAACUAAUAAUUGCAUUAAUAGUGGUAUUGGCCAUAAAGACAGUUGCUAACUUAACAUAAAU
This 2115-nucleotide long non-coding RNA is filed under the name Homo sapiens (human). Its description in RNAcentral is "HSALNT0093917". The record is from RNAcentral. Lineage: Eukaryota; Metazoa; Chordata; Mammalia; Primates; Hominidae.